CAGCAGCCGCGGUAAAACAGAGGGUGCAAGCGUUAAUCGGAAUUACUGGGCGUAAAGCGCGCGUAGGUGGUUUGUUAAGUUGGAUGUGAAAGCCCCGGGCUCAACCUGGGAACUGCAUCCAAAACUGGCAAGCUAGAGUACGGUAGAGGGUGGUGGAAUUUCCUGUGUAGCGGUGAAAUGCGUAGAUAUAGGAAGGAACACCAGUGGCGAAGGCGACCACCUGGACUGAUACUGACACUGAGGUGCGAAAGCGUGGGGAGCAAACAGGAUUAGAUACCCCCGUAGUCCCUGUCUCUUAUAC
This 301-nucleotide ribosomal RNA is filed under the name uncultured bacterium. RNAcentral's name for it is "partial 16S ribosomal RNA". It matches the Rfam family "Bacterial small subunit ribosomal RNA", at positions 509 to 807 of the family's 1533-position model. The record is from RNAcentral.